UGCGGAAGGAUCAUUAAUGAGUUGUGAUGGGGUUUGAUGCUGGCAGCCAAUUUUUGGAUGCAUGUGCUUGCCUAACAAUCAUCUUCCAAACACCUGUGCACAUUUUUGAGGGAGUUUCGAGUUUUAUUGCCGUUUUUGGUGAUUUUCUUGUAUUCCCUUGAAUUAUUAUACGCUGUUAACAAUGAUGAACGUGCUCUGUGCCGCAAGGCCAUUAAUAUAAUACAACUUUUAACAACGGAUCUCUUGGCUCUCGCAUCGAUGAAGAACGCAGCGAAAUGCGAUAAGUAAUGUGAAUUGCAGAAUUCAGUGAAUCAUCGAAUCUUUGAACGCACCUUGCGCUCCCUGGUAUUCCGGGGAGCACGCCUGUUCGAGUGUCGCGAAAUUUCUCAAGCUUGGAUGGCCUUUUUGUCUGUCCUUAGCCUUGGUUGUUGGGCUUUGCCGUGUCCUUUGUUGGGACGGCUGGCCUUAAAAGCAUUAGCUGAUCCUCGUGUGGCACUGGUUCUACUCAGCGUGAUAACAGUCUGAUCGCUGAGGACAUCUUUUGGGAUGGCCAGUUCUCAUUUGGGUUGCUUCCAAACUUGGUUUUGCAGAUUCUUCAAUCUGUGUUCCACUUUUCAGCUUUGACCUCGAAUCAGGUGGGACUACCCGCUGAACUUAAGCAUAUCAUA
RNAcentral lists this ribosomal RNA (668 nucleotides) under uncultured Clavulina. Its description in RNAcentral is "eukaryotic LSU rRNA". The stretch from base 224 to 377 matches the Rfam family "5.8S ribosomal RNA". Lineage: Eukaryota; Fungi; Basidiomycota; Agaricomycetes; Cantharellales; Hydnaceae. The record is from RNAcentral.